RNAcentral lists this ribosomal RNA (501 nucleotides) under uncultured bacterium. RNAcentral's name for it is "partial 16S ribosomal RNA". It matches the Rfam family "Bacterial small subunit ribosomal RNA", at positions 30 to 523 of the family's 1533-position model. The record is from RNAcentral.
AUUGAACGCUGGCGGAAUGCUUUACACAUGCAAGUCGAACGGCAGCACGGACUUCGGUCUGGUGGCGAGUGGCGAACGGGUGAGUAAUACAUCGGAACGUACCCAGUAGUGGGGGAUAACGCACCGAAAGGUGCGCUAAUACCGCAUACGACCUAAGGGUGAAAGCGGGGGACCGUAAGGCCUCGCGCUAUUGGAGCGGCCGAUGUCUGAUUAGCUAGUUGGCGGGGUAAUAGCCCACCAAGGCGACGAUCAGUAGCUGGUCUGAGAGGACGAUCAGCCACACUGGGACUGAGACACGGCCCAGACUCCUACGGGAGGCAGCAGUGGGGAAUUUUGGACAAUGGGGGCAACCCUGAUCCAGCAAUGCCGCGUGUGCGAAGAAGGCCUUCGGGUUGUAAAGCACUUUUGUCAGGGAAGAAAUUUUUCAGGCUAAUACCCUUGGAAGGAUGACGGUACCUGAAGAAUAAGCACCGGCUAACUACGUGCCAGCAGCCGCCGUAA